UCCCUGGAGAUCCAGUGGUCAAGACUGCACUCUUAAUGCGGGAAGCCCAGGUUCCAUUCCUGGUCUGGGAA
This 71-nucleotide transfer RNA is filed under the name Ovis aries (sheep). It matches the Rfam family "tRNA". Rfam says of the family: Transfer RNA (tRNA) molecules are approximately 80 nucleotides in length. Their secondary structure includes four short double-helical elements and three loops (D, anti-codon, and T loops). Further hydrogen bonds mediate the characteristic L-shaped molecular structure. tRNAs have two regions of fundamental functional importance: the anti-codon, which is responsible for specific mRNA codon recognition, and the 3' end, to which the tRNAs corresponding amino acid is attached (by aminoacyl-tRNA synthetases). tRNAs cope with the degeneracy of the genetic code in two manners: having more than one tRNA (with a specific anti-codon) for a particular amino acid; and 'wobble' base-pairing, i.e. permitting non-standard base-pairing at the 3rd anti-codon position. Lineage: Eukaryota; Metazoa; Chordata; Mammalia; Artiodactyla; Bovidae. The record is from Rfam by way of RNAcentral.